Molecule: unclassified non-coding RNA, 2017 nt
Filed under: Megachile rotundata (alfalfa leafcutting bee)
Lineage: Eukaryota; Metazoa; Arthropoda; Insecta; Hymenoptera; Megachilidae
Description: uPF0430 protein CG31712-like, transcript variant X1
Source: RNAcentral
CGGUAUAAGUCAGUGGUGCAGUAUACGCGUUUAGGAGUGACCAGUUUAUUGUUGCAUCUCGGUAUUUGCUUAGUGUUCGUUUAUAUUUAUACGCAGUUGCGUCUUUCGUUUGUAAUAUAUUCUCUAUUUCGCGCGUGAUUCGUUUAAAAAAAAAAACGGUAGAACUCAUUAAAAUGGGCCGUUCAAGAUCCAGGACGAAAUCUCCUAGCAGGCGGCGUCAUAAGAGUAAGCAUUCGAGGAAACGUUCAAAGUCACGAGAGAAACACUCGAAUAACAAGUACUCUGACAAACCAAAAGAACGCAGUUCGAAGUCAAGGAAACGAUCGCAUUCUGCGUCUUCUAGUUCAGGAUCAGAUGUUUCGGACGAUGUGCACAUUGUCAGUCAUAAGAAACGUUCUUAUAGAGACAGGGAUCGUAAAAUGGACGAAGUAGAGAGGUUGGCAGAAAUGGAGCGACAAAGGAAAAAGAAAGAAUUAUCGAACAAAAUCUUCACCACGAGCGCAGUUGGAAGGCAACGCGAGGUGGAACAAAAAAUGGUAGAAGAAGAAGCAGCCAAACGUAUCGAAGAACUAGUGCAGAAAAGGGUGGAAGAAGAGUUAGAAAAACGUAAGGAAGAGAUAGAAGCCGAAGUACAAAGGAGAGUAGAAGAAGCUAAAAGGGCUAUGGAGCGUCAAAUGAUGGAGGAAAUGGAAUGGAGACAAGCAAAGCUUCGUGAGGAGGAGAAACGAAGAGAGGAGGAAGAGCGGAAGAAGCGCGAGGAACUAGAGAGGAUCAUGGAGGAAAACAACAGAAAAAUAGAAGAAGCUCAGAAGAAACUGGCUGAGGAAAGAUUGGCCAUGGUCGAACAGCAACGUUUGAUGGAAGAGGAAAGGCAGAGAAUGAGAAAAGAACAUGAGAAACGUGUUAAGGAGGAGCAAAAGAAAAUCCUCGGGAAGAACAACUCGAGGCCUAAAUUGUCCUUUACCCUAAAGCCAGUUACGUGAGUCUGUAUCAUUUCGAGCAGUUUUACAUGUGAUUUUUAUACAACUUGUCGAUAUUUGGGAUCAUUUGUAUUCCAAUGGAACAAUUUAAAAGCUGCGCGUACAUAGAGGUACAUCAAUUGAUGCAGCAACAAGAUCCAAAGCUCACGCAAAUCUAUACGAAACGAUCAUCGAAAUUUGGCAACGUUUGAAUUCGUUUGUUCGAUUAUGAUGGUCGAUACACGCGUCACAAUUGAAUAAUUAAUUCUACGCUUUGCCAGGUUUCGAUGUUCGAUACAGAUGGGAUCUUAAUCUUGUUCGAGAGACCAACACCCGUGCCAAAAUACAGACAAGCACCUUCUUCACGCCGGGACAUAAAUAGUACCAGUAUUCAUCCUGACAUAUGUUGAAAAUUAUCUUUCUUUUUUUUUUUUUAAAUACAUACAACGCGUUACCAAGCAGGUAUGCUUGAUCUGUUUCUGGCAGAAAGUGUGGUCUAGUCUAGUUAGUUAGAUAUAUUAAAGAAACACGAAUCGUAUUAAAAGUAUUCGUAUUUCGAGAUCUAUGGCAGUUGGUAACUUUGAGACGGUCAUAUUAUUAACACGACCAAGUAGAUUUUGUAAUUAAACGCAAAUGCAUAAAUGAAUUUUCUACCAAAAUAGAUAGUUAUGAGCAUCUGUAAUACGAAAUACACGAACCAGUUACGAGGCAAUAGUAAACGGAGAACUACUCUCUUUCUUUUGUUUCCUUUUUCUUUUUUAGAAUAUUAACCGAAAAUUAUUACGGAUCGUUCAUACAUUACAGAACUCGUUUGAAUAAGAACAAGAUAAAAUAUUCUUUUUUAAUCGAAACCAAAGUAACAAAUGGUAUAAAAGAAAAUGACACGUUAAAUGGAUCAUUUUGUACGUGUAAAAACGUAUGAAUGCAACCGUGAACGAGUAUGUCUUGUAUGCAAUCGUGUAUAGAUGUGUAUCAAUAUAACGAAAAAAAACACUUGUUCGUAUAGGAUUGUAUACUCGCAACAUUGUUACUUGUAAAAUAAACAUGUUUUUAUUACA